RNAcentral lists this ribosomal RNA (466 nucleotides) under uncultured bacterium. RNAcentral describes it as "partial 16S ribosomal RNA". It matches the Rfam family "Bacterial small subunit ribosomal RNA", at positions 28 to 506 of the family's 1533-position model. The record is from RNAcentral.
GACGAACGCUGGCGGCGUGCUUAACACAUGCAAGUCGAACGGAAAGGCCCUGCUUUUGUGGGGUGCUCGAGUGCGAACGGGUGAGUAACACGUGAGUAACCUGCCCUUGACUUUGGGAUAACUUCAGGAAACUGGGGCUAAUACCGGAUAGGAGCUCCUGCUGCAUGGUGGGGGUUGGAAAGUUUCGGCGGUUGGGGAUGGACUCGGGGCUUAUCAGCUUGUUGGUGGGGUAGUGGCUUACCAAGGCUUUGACGGGUAGCCGGCCUGAGAGGGUGACCGGCCACAUUGGGACUGAGAUACGGCCCAGACUCCUACGGGAGGCAGCAGGGGGGAAUAUUGCACAAGGGGCGGAAGCCUGAUGCAGCAACGCCGCGUGCGGGAUGACGGCCUUCGGGUUGUAAACCGCUUUCGCCUGUGACGAAGCGUGAGUGACGGUAAUGGGUAAAGAAGCACCGGCUAACUACGU